GCGGUCGUGGCGGAACUGGCAGACGCGUACGUUUGAGGGGCGUAUGGUAACACCGUAUGGGUUCAAGUCCCAUCGUCCGCACCA
RNAcentral lists this transfer RNA (84 nucleotides) under Christensenellaceae bacterium. RNAcentral's name for it is "tRNA-Leu". It matches the Rfam family "tRNA". Rfam says of the family: Transfer RNA (tRNA) molecules are approximately 80 nucleotides in length. Their secondary structure includes four short double-helical elements and three loops (D, anti-codon, and T loops). Lineage: Bacteria; Bacillati; Bacillota; Clostridia; Christensenellales; Christensenellaceae. The record is from RNAcentral.